This 1150-nucleotide ribosomal RNA is filed under the name Lactiplantibacillus plantarum. Its description in RNAcentral is "bacterial SSU rRNA". It matches the Rfam family "Bacterial small subunit ribosomal RNA", at positions 327 to 1471 of the family's 1533-position model. Lineage: Bacteria; Bacillati; Bacillota; Bacilli; Lactobacillales; Lactobacillaceae. The record is from RNAcentral.
CGGCCCAAACUCCUACGGGAGGCAGCAGUAGGGAAUCUUCCACAAUGGACGAAAGUCUGAUGGAGCAACGCCGCGUGAGUGAAGAAGGGUUUCGGCUCGUAAAACUCUGUUGUUAAAGAAGAACAUAUCUGAGAGUAACUGUUCAGGUAUUGACGGUAUUUAACCAGAAAGCCACGGCUAACUACGUGCCAGCAGCCGCGGUAAUACGUAGGUGGCAAGCGUUGUCCGGAUUUAUUGGGCGUAAAGCGAGCGCAGGCGGUUUUUUAAGUCUGAUGUGAAAGCCUUCGGCUCAACCGAAGAAGUGCAUCGGAAACUGGGAAACUUGAGUGCAGAAGAGGACAGUGGAACUCCAUGUGUAGCGGUGAAAUGCGUAGAUAUAUGGAAGAACACCAGUGGCGAAGGCGGCUGUCUGGUCUGUAACUGACGCUGAGGCUCGAAAGUAUGGGUAGCAAACAGGAUUAGAUACCCUGGUAGUCCAUACCGUAAACGAUGAAUGCUAAGUGUUGGAGGGUUUCCGCCCUUCAGUGCUGCAGCUAACGCAUUAAGCAUUCCGCCUGGGGAGUACGGCCGCAAGGCUGAAACUCAAAGGAAUUGACGGGGGCCCGCACAAGCGGUGGAGCAUGUGGUUUAAUUCGAAGCUACGCGAAGAACCUUACCAGGUCUUGACAUACUAUGCAAAUCUAAGAGAUUAGACGUUCCCUUCGGGGACAUGGAUACAGGUGGUGCAUGGUUGUCGUCAGCUCGUGUCGUGAGAUGUUGGGUUAAGUCCCGCAACGAGCGCAACCCUUAUUAUCAGUUGCCAGCAUUAAGUUGGGCACUCUGGUGAGACUGCCGGUGACAAACCGGAGGAAGGUGGGGAUGACGUCAAAUCAUCAUGCCCCUUAUGACCUGGGCUACACACGUGCUACAAUGGAUGGUACAACGAGUUGCGAACUCGCGAGAGUAAGCUAAUCUCUUAAAGCCAUUCUCAGUUCGGAUUGUAGGCUGCAACUCGCCUACAUGAAGUCGGAAUCGCUAGUAAUCGCGGAUCAGCAUGCCGCGGUGAAUACGUUCCCGGGCCUUGUACACACCGCCCGUCACACCAUGAGAGUUUGUAACACCCAAAGUCGGUGGGGUAACCUUUUAGGAACCAGCCGCCUAAGGUGACAGA